Molecule: long non-coding RNA, 564 nt
Filed under: Homo sapiens (human)
Lineage: Eukaryota; Metazoa; Chordata; Mammalia; Primates; Hominidae
Description: non-protein coding lnc-KHDRBS2-2:1
Source: RNAcentral
AUGGUUCAUCCGCUAAACUGCAUUGUCAAUGUUUCCCAGAAGAUGGGCAUCAUCAGGAAUGGGGACCUGCCCUGACCUCAGCUCAAAAAUAAAUUCGAUUCCAAAGAAUGACCACACCCUCUUCAGCAGAGGGUAAAGAAAAUUUAGUAUUUUUAAUUAGGAAGAACUGGUUCUCGAUUACUGAGAAGAAUCAACCUUUAAAGUAUAUAAUUAAUUUAGUUGUCAGUAGAGAAUCCAAGGAACCACCGCAAAGACCUCCUUUUCUUGACUAAAGUCUGGGUGAUGCCUUAAAACGUAUUGAGCAACUAAAAUUAGCAAAUAAACAAGACGUGUUUUUUACAGUGGGAGGCAGUUCUGUUUAUAAGGAAUCCAUGAAUUGAGACCAUUUUAAACUAUUUGUGACAUGGAUCAUGCAGGACUUUCAAAGUGACACGUUUUUUUCCCCUAGAAGGUGAUUUAGAGAAAUAUAAACUUCUCCCAGAAUACCCACAAGGUGUUGUCUCUGAUGUGGAGGAGGAGAAAGGCAUUAAGUACAAAUUUGAAGUAUAUGAAAAGAAUGAUUAA